UACGGAGGGUGCAAGCGUUAUCCGGAUUCACUGGGUUUAAAGGGUGCGUAGGAGGGCAGGUAAGUCAGUGGUGAAAUCUCCAAGCUUAACUUGGAAACUGCCGUUGAUACUAUCUGUCUUGAAUAUUGUGGAGGUGAGCGGAAUAUGUCAUGUAGCGGUGAAAUGCUUAGAUAUGACAUAGAACACCAAUUGCGAAGGCAGCUCGCUACUCAAUUAUUGACUCUGAGGAGCGAAAGCGUGGGGAGCGAACAGG
This 253-nucleotide ribosomal RNA is filed under the name uncultured bacterium. Its description in RNAcentral is "partial 16S ribosomal RNA". It matches the Rfam family "Bacterial small subunit ribosomal RNA", at positions 524 to 776 of the family's 1533-position model. The record is from RNAcentral.